Molecule: ribosomal RNA, 476 nt
Filed under: uncultured microorganism
Description: bacterial SSU rRNA
Rfam family: Bacterial small subunit ribosomal RNA
Source: RNAcentral
GAGUUUGAUCAUGGCUCAGAUUGAACGCUGGCGGCAUGCCUUACACAUGCAAGUCGAACGGCAGCAUGAUCUAGCUUGCUAGAUUGAUGGCGAGUGGGCGAACGGGUGAGUAAUACAUCGGAACGUGCCCUGUAGUGGGGGAGUAACUAGUCGAAAGAUUAGCUAAUACCGCAUACGACCUGAGGGUGAAGGUGGGGGACCGCAAGGCCUCAUGCUAUAGGAGCGGCCGAUGUCUGAUUAGCUAGUUGGUGGGGUAAAGGCCCACCAAGGCGACGAUCAGUAGCUGGUCUGAGAGGACGAUCAGCCACACUGGGGACUGAGACACGGCCCAGACUCCUACGGGAGGCAGCAGUGGGGAAUUUUGGACAAUGGGGGCAACCCUGAUCCAGCAAUGCCGCGUGUGUGAAGAAGGCCUCCGGGUUGUAAGCACUUUGUCCGGUAAGAAAUCGCACUUACUAAUAUUAGGUGUGGAUGAC